Long non-coding RNA from Cygnus olor (mute swan), 490 nucleotides. RefSeq lists it as uncharacterized. NCBI's taxonomy places the organism in Eukaryota, Metazoa, Chordata, Aves, Anseriformes, Anatidae. The transcript is spliced from 2 exons. The record is from RefSeq and is a predicted model, not a curated record.
CACGGUGACAGGGCCAACCAGAGCCAGAGCGCUCAAGGCACGGCCCAGAAAUCUGCAGCCCCAGGGAGCGGCGAGCAAACCCUGCAGAGGAAGGAGGAGCGGCGCUGGGUUCUCCUAGGGCUGUGGAAAUGGCAGUGGAUGGAAGUUGAUGUGGAUGGAAGCAGCUCCCCAGCAGGGCAGCCCAGCAUGCGUUUGUAAAGCAAAAAAAAAAAAAAAAAAAGGACAGAACUACCACACUGCUGUGCUAAUUCAUGAGAAUGCCAUGGAAAGUGGUGGUGAGAAGUAAAAAGGGAAAAGGAAAAAUGACCAGGUCAGCUGCGCUGCCAAGGAUGAGCGAGGAACUGAAAGGCUGAACAGAAAGCGUGGUGUUUGAAGAGAUUUGGGGCCUGAUUUAUCGCCUUUCUUUGCUCUGUGGUUCCCGUGUUAUUGUAUUGCACACGAUGCACAUGUGAGCAGACGUGGCCCCUGCCUCUGUGCUCCAGCAGUGCAC